Molecule: ribosomal RNA, 429 nt
Filed under: Bacteroidota bacterium
Lineage: Bacteria; Pseudomonadati; Bacteroidota
Description: Bacteroidetes bacterium partial 16S ribosomal RNA
Rfam family: Bacterial small subunit ribosomal RNA
Source: RNAcentral
UAGGGAAUCUUCGGCAAUGGGGGGAACCCUGACCGAGCAACGCCGCGUGAGUGAAGAAGGUUUACGGAUCGUAAAGCUCUGUUGUUAAGGAAGAACGAGUGUGAGAAUGGAAAGUUCAUACUGUGACGGUACUUAACCAGAAAGGGACGGCUAACUACGUGCCAGCAGCCGCGGUAAUACGUAGGUCCCGAGCGUUGUCCGGAUUUAUUGGGCGUAAAGCGAGCGCAGGCGGUUAGAUAAGUCUGAAGUUAAAGGCAGUGGCUCAACCAUUGUAGGCUUUGGAAACUGUUUAACUUGAGUGCAGAAGGGGAGAGUGGAAUUCCAUGUGUAGCGGUGAAAUGCGUAGAUAUAUGGAGGAACACCAGUGGCGAAGGCGACUCUCUGGUCUGUAACUGACGCUGAGGCUCGAAAGCGUGGGUAGCAAACAGG